GUGCCAGUCUGCCAUCCACUGGAUUUUUGAACCCACCUUCAGCUGGCUCGUUGAGAGAUGGGACCCAGAUAUUCCUCCUAAUUUCUUGUGGACUUGGUUUUUCAAAUCCCUGUCAAAUAUUAAGGUACUUAUGUCUCAUGUUGAGAUUUCAGCAAGAAUUGUGAGUUGAAUGGUCCUUUUCUGCUUCUCCUAAGGAAUGUGAUUGGG
This 207-nucleotide long non-coding RNA is filed under the name Vulpes vulpes (red fox). RNAcentral describes it as "lncRNA (ENSVVUG00000000994.1)". The record is from RNAcentral. Lineage: Eukaryota; Metazoa; Chordata; Mammalia; Carnivora; Canidae.